AUGAACGCUGGCGGCGUGCCUAAUACAUGCAAGUCGAGCGAACGGACGAGAAGCUUGCUUCUCUGAUUUUAGCGGCGGACGGGUGAGUAACACGUGGAUAACCUACCUAUAAGACUGGGAUAACUUCGGGAAACCUGAGCUAAUACCGGAUGAUAUUUUGAACCGCCUGGUUCAAAAGUGUAAGACGGUCUUGCUGUCACUUAUAGAUGGAUCCGCGCUGCAUUAGCUAGUUGGUAAGGUAACGGCUUACCAAGGCAACGAUGCAUAGCCGACCUUAGAGGGUGAUAGGCCACACUGGAACUGAGACACGGUCAAGACUCCUACGGGAGGCAGCAGUAGGGAAUCUUCCGCAAAGGGCGAAAGCCUGACGGAGCAACGCCGCGUGAGUGAUGAAGGUCUUCGGAUCGUAAAACUCUGUUAUUAGGGAAGAACAUAUGUGUAAGUAACUGUGCACAUCUUGACGGUACCUAAUCAGAAAGCCACGGCUAACUACGUG
This 496-nucleotide ribosomal RNA is filed under the name uncultured bacterium. Its description in RNAcentral is "partial 16S ribosomal RNA". It matches the Rfam family "Bacterial small subunit ribosomal RNA", at positions 29 to 507 of the family's 1533-position model. The record is from RNAcentral.